Molecule: long non-coding RNA, 91 nt
Organism: Larimichthys crocea (large yellow croaker)
Lineage: Eukaryota; Metazoa; Chordata; Actinopteri; Sciaenidae
Exons: 3
Source: RefSeq, a predicted model, not a curated record
CCUCACAAGCAACAACAUUCAGGAGCUGGGUGACUUGGAUCCACUGGCCACGGUGAAGACACUGACCCUCCUCAGCUUGUUAAGGAAUCCA